This 402-nucleotide ribosomal RNA is filed under the name uncultured Alphaproteobacteria bacterium. Its description in RNAcentral is "partial 16S ribosomal RNA". It matches the Rfam family "Bacterial small subunit ribosomal RNA", at positions 355 to 774 of the family's 1533-position model. The record is from RNAcentral. Lineage: Bacteria; Pseudomonadati; Pseudomonadota; Alphaproteobacteria.
UGAGGAAUAUUGGGCAAUGGAGGGAACUCUGACCCAGCCAUGCCGCGUGAGUGAAGAAGGUUUUCGGAUUGUAAAGCUCUUUCGGAUGUGACGAUGAUGACGGUAGCAUCUAAAGAAGCCCCGGCUAACUUCGUGCCAGCAGCCGCGGUAAUGCGAAGGGGGCAAGCGUUGUUCGGAAUUACUGGGCGUAAAGGGAGUGUAGGCGGUUUGAUAAGAUAGGGGUGAAAUCCCAGAGCUCAACUCUGGAAUUGCCUUUAUAACUAUUAGACUUGAAUUAUAGAGAGGAUAGUGGAAUACCCAGUGUAGAGGUGAAAUUCGUAGAUAUUGGGUAGAACACCAGUGGCGAAGGCGACUAUCUGGCUAUAUAUUGACGCUGAGGCUCGAAAGCAUGGGGAGCAAACA